This 234-nucleotide ribosomal RNA is filed under the name uncultured bacterium. RNAcentral's name for it is "partial 16S ribosomal RNA". It matches the Rfam family "Bacterial small subunit ribosomal RNA", at positions 57 to 305 of the family's 1533-position model. The record is from RNAcentral.
GCAAGUCGAGCGCGCCCUUCGGGGUGAGCGGCGGACGGGUGAGUAACGCGUGGGAAUAUGCCCAGUAGUGGGGGAUAACGUGUGGAAACGCACGCUAAUACCGCAUACGUCCUACGGGAGAAAGCAGGGGAUCUUCGGACCUUGCGCUAUUGGAUGAGCCCAAGUCAGAUUAGCUAGUUGGUGAGGUAAUGGCUCACCAAGGCGACGAUCCGUAGCUGGUCUGAGAGGACGAUC